CUUAUCCGACCUUCUCUCCUUCUCUUCCUCUCAUUCCUUAUCCGCCUCUCACUCAUAAGUCCAUGACUCACACCCUCUUCUUCUCUUUUGGACUGAAACCCUAAGAAGAAAAAUAGAACCCUAACUUCAUCAGCUAAAAGACGAAGAAGAAAAAAUAGGUUUACAAAAGCAUGGAAGUUACGGUCGAUUAUGAAGGUUGUGGUAGUGAUGGGUUCUUGUACAGAAAAAGCCCUAAUAUUUGUGAUUUGUGAAUCCCUCGUUUCUCAUUACCUCUGAGGUUUAUAACAUGGGUCAUGUUUGGUUGUCUUGGUUUCAUUUCGUGUUGUUUAUUUGAGAUUUUACUUUAAUCACCUGAUCUAAUUGAAUUGGGGGUGUUUUUUUUUUUAAGCGUUUGGGUAAUGAUAGUCUUCUAAUGGGGUGUGGUUUUUAAGUUUGUUGUGAAUGUUAUAUGUGGAUCUGAAGAAGAGGGCUACAGAAUCUCUGGAGGAAUAGAGGCUAUGAACUAUUUGUUUAGUUUAGUUUAGUUUGUUUGCAAUGAUCUACUGCAAGUGUACCAUCGUUGAAAGUCUUGGUUGGGAUGAAAUGCCGGUUACAACAGCUGCAGAUGAUGUUUGCUUAAACAACACUAGAAGUGAUUGCUUAGGUAUUGUACGGCGCUGAUAUAGAAACUGGAGUAUUUGGCAGUGGGGUUUUAGAGUGCGGCAAGUUGGAGGUGUAACAAAUUAUUUAGUAUUAAAUGUGCAGGGCAUCACUCAAUUGCUCUUACCAGGAAUCCAUAGACAGGUUUUGGUAAAAAGUUUAUGUUAGCGACUUGGUUAGGGUGAAAGUUCACAUUCUUGUGUCUGUGUUUGUUGUCCAAUAGUUAAGUGUUUAACUCAAACUGUUGUCGUAUACAUAUCUGACUGUGGCAAGCUGCCUUGUCUGAGCUUCUGUAAGGAUGUCCCAUUCUGGAUUAAUCUUUUGAUAAUUUCAGCAUAUCAUUCUUAUGUAGUCCCCAAGGAAUACGAAAACCAUGUUUUGAAUGUUUAUCUUUCUGUCAUUUGGUUACAGGAUUGGUGGUUGACUACCAUUAUCUAUUCCACACCUUUAAUGUGUUUCUUUGUCAUUCAUGCACCUUUAUGUUUCUUUACUCUUGUAUGUCAGGCUAGUAUUAUUUAGUUAGCAUUCAGUGUUACAUAUAAAUUUAGCAUCUACUGUAGUUGUAUAUGCCAAUAUCUUAACAAUUUCUUAGUACCCAUACUUUGGGGAGUUGACAAGCGCUCUCUAAAGGAGAAUAAGCGAACUCCCAAUUAAGACGCCUGUUUAGUAAAUGGUUGGUCUCUUCCCAUGUUCCGUGAACACCUUUCAAGUUUCUAUAGACUUAUAGUUGUGUUUACAUGAACAAUUUAUUACAAGCAUGGACUAUUUGAAUUGGGUGUAUGUAAAUUUGAUAUAACUGGUUGUAUUAACUUCUACUUGUAGAGUCCAAGUGUUGAAACAGUCACAAGAGAGUUCGCUUCACAGACGAAGCGGUUAUUGACUGUGGGAGAUCACAUAAAUAUACAACCCACACAUGCAUAUGAGGCAAGAUUGUGUGUAUCUGGCAGGGAAUCCCGGUUUAGUUGUGUUCAUGAAGGCGAGGUGAUGCAACUAGAUUGCUCGUCUGGUGGUGUGAAGAACUUGCACUGAUACCAUUUUGGAACUUUGCUAUUCGGUAAAUUUCUACUCUUGGCAAGUUCAUUAUGUGUUUUUGUAGUUACUUAGUUUCCCAUGGGUAGGUUGUGUGCACGUAGAAUGUGCCUUCACAUGGCAAAGGCCCGGAGGAUGGGUUGCAAUUGUGUUUCAGGUUCAUGAUGAUUGUAGAAUCUGCGUAGUUUGCAGAUUGAAAAAGAAAAUGCUAUUGUAUUUCAGGCCUGUAAACUGAGAGUGCAGGUCCAUCAUCGUGACCUGUAUUGCAGGCCUGUAAACUGGAUGCCCGGGUCCAUGAAAAUGGUCUGGGUUACCCAAUUUUUUUUAUUUGUAAGUUAAAGAAUUGUCACCGGUUUAACAGUAACGACAGAUGUAAUUAAAUGAAAACGUUUAAGAAUAACGCGCGUCAACAAAUAUUUGUUGAAAAUCAAUAGGUACACUUGUAAGUGUUACUAUAUUCGUAACAAAACGCGUCACGUGUCAUUCGUUAAUUUGUGGUAAAUAGUAACAUAUAAAGCCAUUACGAUAAAUAUGACACGUGUCGCAAUCGUAAAAUUAGGUCAAUUGUGACUAUUAACUAUGUAACGCUUUUAUGUGACUGUAUCUGGCCUUUGUUACAGAUAAAACUCUUAUGAAACACCAUCACAAUUAUUAAUAACGGCCUUUUUAUAACUAUAACCGUUACAAAUUCAAUAAGUAACAGGUAUAUCCUGUGGCAAAAUCCUGAAAAUGGUGCAGUGGUGGUAUGGUAGAUUAUUUUUAAUUAGUCGAUAAAUAAAACACUCUUUGUUUUAUAUACAACUAAGAAAUUGUUGUAUAUAAAACAAUGCAAUUGUAUAAUACAAGUGGAACAAUACACUUUAAUUAGGGAUAUGGAUCAACCAUCCUGAGAUCUCCCAUAUGUAAGCAGGUGUUACUGCUAUUGAUAUUGGUUGUUAUAAAUUCUAUCAUUUUAGGUUCAUCACUAUGGCUUGUAUAAAAAUCGUUUACCAACAUUAUAGUCAGUCGUGUUUUUUUAA
This is a long non-coding RNA of Papaver somniferum (opium poppy), 2687 nucleotides long. RefSeq lists it as uncharacterized. The record is from RefSeq and is a predicted model, not a curated record. The transcript is spliced from 6 exons. Lineage: Eukaryota; Viridiplantae; Streptophyta; Magnoliopsida; Ranunculales; Papaveraceae.